Molecule: ribosomal RNA, 497 nt
Filed under: uncultured bacterium
Lineage: Bacteria
Description: partial 16S ribosomal RNA
Rfam family: Bacterial small subunit ribosomal RNA
Source: RNAcentral
GAUGAACGCUGGCGGCGUGCCUAAUACAUGCAAGUCGAGCGAACAGACGAGGAGCUUGCUCCUCUGACGUUAGCGGCGGACGGGUGAGUAACACGUGGAUAACCUACCUAUAAGACUGGGAUAACUUCGGGAAACCGGAGCUAAUACCGGAUAAUAUAUUGAACCGCAUGGUUCAAUAGUGAAAGACGGUUUUGCUGUCACUUAUAGAUGGAUCCGCGCCGCAUUAGCUAGUUGGUAAGGUAACGGCUUACCAAGGCAACGAUGCGUAGCCGACCUGAGGGGGUGAUAGGCCACCUGGGAACUGAGACAGGGUCCAGACUCCUAAGGGAGGCAGCAGUAGGGAAUCUUCCGCAAUGGGCGAAAGCAUGACGGAGCAACGCCGCGUGAGUGAUGACGGUCUUCGGAUCGUAAAACUGUGUUAUUAGGGAAGAACAAAUGUGUAAGUAACUAUGCCCGUCUUGACGGUACCUAAUCAGAAAGCCACGGCUAACUACGUG